UACAUGGAGUCCAAGCGUUAUCCGGAUUUACUGGGCGUAAAGCGUCCGUAGGCGUUCCGAUAAGUUUUCAGUGAAAUCCUUCCGCCCAACGGGAGAACUGUUGAAAAAACUAUCGGAAUCGAGUGUGGCAGAGGCAAGGGGAAUUCCCGGUGUAGGGGUAAAAUCCGUUGAUAUCGGGAAGAACACCAGUGGCGAAGGCGCCUUGCUGGGCCAUUACUGACGCUCAGGGACGAAAGCGUGGGUAGCGAACGGG
RNAcentral lists this ribosomal RNA (253 nucleotides) under uncultured bacterium. Its description in RNAcentral is "partial 16S ribosomal RNA". It matches the Rfam family "Bacterial small subunit ribosomal RNA", at positions 524 to 776 of the family's 1533-position model. The record is from RNAcentral. RNAcentral also lists the same sequence under 1 other name.